Molecule: unclassified non-coding RNA, 355 nt
Filed under: soil metagenome
Description: partial contains 5.8S ribosomal RNA, internal transcribed spacer 2, and large subunit ribosomal RNA
Rfam family: 5.8S ribosomal RNA (bases 1-120)
Source: RNAcentral
GAUGAAGAACGUAGUGAAAUGCGAUACGUAAUGUGAAUUGCAGAAUUCAGUGAAUCAUCGAGUCUUUGAACGCACAUUGCGCCCCCUGGUAUUCCGGGGGGCAUGCCUGUCCGAGCGUCAUUUCAACCCUCGAGCCCCCCCGGGGGGUCGGCGUUGGGGAUCGGCUGUCAAGUCAAGACUGCCGGCCCCGAAAUGCAGUGGCGGUCUCGCCGCAGCCUCUCCUGCGCAGUAGCUUGCACGCUCGCAACGGGAGCGCGGCGCGUCCACGGCCGUGAAACAACCCAAACUUCUGAAAGGUUGACCUCGGAUCAGGUAGGAAUACCCGCUGAACUUAAGCAUAUCAAUAAGCGGAGGA